UAUAAAAAAAUAACAAUAGCACUUUUAUAAUAAAUUUCAAAUAUAUAUAUAUAUGAAUUUUAUUAUAUAAACAUAGUGUUUAUUAAAACCAUUAUCGUGAAGGUUACGUGUUGUGUCAUUCAUUCAAAUUUUGUAAAAAUGUGGUUUUAUUUUUUAUUUGUUAUUCUUACAACAUUUGAUUUUGCGAUGGCUUCAUCGGGUUUUGAUUUUGGAGAUACUGUAGCAUUGAUUCUUGGAUUAAUUAUUGGAAUCAUUGGAUUUUUUGCCUGUAUGGGUACUUAUGCACGUCAUCGAAGUCGUAUGGAAACAAUGACAUAAAAAUAAGUACUCUAAAAUUAAAAAAAUAGCUAUUCAAUGUUUAAAAUUAAAGCAAUAAAUAAUAAACAAAUUCUUUCUGAUAAUGAAAAAUAAUUUUGAAUUACAUUUAUGAUAUAUAACAAGUUAUUUUUAAGUAUUAUAAUAUUAUUGUAAUAUAAUUGUUAAAUAAAUUUUUAUAAAAAUAAUAAUGAUACAUAAAUAUGUAUCAGAACAUUUAUUAAAAAUAUUAUAUUAUAUCAUUAAAAAUAUAUUAUUUUUAAAUUUUUUUUUAAAUUUUUAUAUGUAACAAGUAAUAUAAAUGUAUUUAACAAUGUACACGUAAAAAGAUUGUAAUAUUUUAAAAUGAUUAUAUAUAAUAUAGAAAAAUAUUAUUUAUAGUACAUGCAAUACUAAUUAAAAAAAUUAUGUAUUGUUGUCUACAUAAUAUAUUCAUAAAUUUCACAAAUAUACAAUGUUAAUUAACAUCAUAAACUACAUUUUGAUGUAAUUAUUUUUCAAGUAAGGAAUGGAAGAUAAUAUUCUGAGCACAAUUAUUUAAAUUAUUCCAGUUUGAUUAAUUAAUUAAUUGAUUAAUUGAAAUCGCAAAACAAUAAUUCAUAACAAUAAAAUUUCUAUGUAUCUCUAUUACAACUUCUUUUCAUUAUAUAACGAAAAAUUUUAAUUAAUUUUGUUAUUUUUUGUAAUUUUUUUGAAUGCUGAUGCAUAUCUAAUCAGUCUUUACAAAAUUUCUUAUAGAAUUUCACACAACAUAGCUUACAUAAAUUUUUGAAGCAUGUAUGAACUUAUAUACUAGUUAGCAUAGGAAAGCUCUUUGAUUAUUUUUUCCUAAACAUUUUUCACAUUUUUUAUUACAAGCAAAGUAAUUAAAUAUUAAUAUAAGAUAUUUUAGAAAGUAAUUAAAACUUUAUUUUUUUAAAAAUCUUUUUUUUUGUAUAUUUUAUUUCAAUGAAUUUAAAAUUUUUGUAUAGAAAAAUUUUAAAUAUAAAUAACUUUAACUAAUUGUAUUAUCCAAGAUAAAGACUUUGUUUUUUUUCAUUUGAAGUUUGAUAAAGUAAAAUAUUUUAUUAUACAGUACAACAAACAUCUUUUUUCACAAUUGCAUUUCUAAAAUAUCAAAUGAUAUAUUUAUGUGCUUAAAACAAUAUAUAUGUAAUACAACUUAUAUGUAUGUAUGUGUAUGUGUAUAUAUAUAUAUAUAUAUAUAUAUAUAUACAUACACAUACGUACAUUUAUAUGUUGUAUCUACAAUCAACAAAUUGUUUAUAUAUACUUGCAAUUAAUUAUAUGAAUCUAUUAAAUAAAUUAAAUAAUUUUAAUAAAUUAGUUCAUUAAAUUCUGAUCCAUCAAUAUGUACUAAGAUUUUAUGUGUAAUUUUUUUUAAAUGUAGCAAAAUAUGAUAUACUUGUUUUUUUUUGUCAUAUUUUCUGAAAAAUAUAUAGUAAUACCUAAGUCUGAAUGUACUAAGUUCAAUUCCAUCAAGUUAGAUGCCAUAUUGGUAGAAAAGAAUUAUGAUGAAUUCAUAUUAUUGAUUUUUUCACAUGUAACAGUGCUGUUUGGUAUUCUUUGGUAAAACAAUAAAAAUGUUUUACAAAAAUU
Apis mellifera (honey bee) is the source of this 1914-nucleotide long non-coding RNA. RefSeq lists it as uncharacterized. The transcript has 2 exons. NCBI's taxonomy places the organism in Eukaryota, Metazoa, Arthropoda, Insecta, Hymenoptera, Apidae. The record is from RefSeq and is a predicted model, not a curated record.